RNAcentral lists this ribosomal RNA (460 nucleotides) under uncultured bacterium. Its description in RNAcentral is "partial 16S ribosomal RNA". It matches the Rfam family "Bacterial small subunit ribosomal RNA", at positions 338 to 795 of the family's 1533-position model. The record is from RNAcentral.
CCUACGGGUGGCAGCAGUGAGGAAUAUUGGUCAAUGGCCGGAAGCCUGAACCAGCCAAGUCGCGUGAGGGACGACUGCCCUAUGGGUUGUAAACCUCUUUUAUAAGGGAAUAAUAUAUGCUACGUGUACCAUGUUGCCUGUACUUUAUGAAUAAGCAUCGGCUAACUCCGUGCCAGCAGCCGCGGUAAUACGGAGGAUGCGAGCGUUAUCCGGAUUUAUUGGGUUUAAAGGGGGCGUAGAGGGGUUGUUAAGUCAGUUGGGAAAGUUUGGGGCUCUAACGUUAAUUUGCAAUUAAUACUGGAAGACUUGAGUACAGACGAGGUAGGCGGAAUAAGUGAUGUAGCGGUGAAAUGCUUAGAUAUCACGUAGAACUCCGAUAGCGAAGGCAGCUUACUAGACUGCGACUGACGUUGAAGCACGAGAGCGUGGGUAGCGAACAGGAUUAGAUACCCUUGUAGUC